This is a long non-coding RNA of Carassius gibelio (silver crucian carp), 2450 nucleotides long. RefSeq lists it as uncharacterized. The transcript has 2 exons. Lineage: Eukaryota; Metazoa; Chordata; Actinopteri; Cypriniformes; Cyprinidae. The record is from RefSeq and is a predicted model, not a curated record.
CUCCUAAUCUUUCUUCAAGCUUUAUCCCCCCUCCUUUCUGCUCUCUUUCUUUCUGCCCCUCUCUCUUUCUCUAUCUGUCGUACAAUAGCACACAUGUGAGUAUGCUGUACCGCCGUGCGGAUUUACGGCGAUUUUUUUUUUUUUUUUUAAGGAUUCACUCUUGGAAGUGAGAUAGCUACGGUUUCUUACUUUCCACUAUAGAUGUAGGCCUAGUUUGUCUGUAUAAAUGUGAACACGCUUAAUAUAUUAUGUGACAUAUUCAUUUCCAGGCGUGGCUAGGAAAUAAGUUCUUAAGGACGUUCUUCGCUUUCUCCGUUGCAGAGAAUUGUUCAGAUAUUUGACUGAAUUUAUCUACUGCACUGCAACUCUAGCCAAAGGGCAAAUGAGGGCAAGAGACGUUUUUAACUCAAGAGGGCAUAGUACGUUAUUUUACAUUGGACUACUGAAAAUUGAAAGGACUUAAAGGCCUAUAAUUGCAUUGACCAGAGCUAUAUUUCGACCUAUUAUUUGAGGUAUAGUCAAAUAAUGUUUCGUCAGAAUAAUGCGAUGAGCUCCAGCUCCCGCCCCCUUUACUAAAGUAUGUCUUCAUUUUUUUAGUCAGAGCAGAAUUACCUGGAAACUGCUGAAAGUUAAACUCUUGAAAAUGAUGAAUCGGGUUAAUACACAAUUAUCAAACUCAAUAGUGUAUAGCAUCGUUUACAGAUAAAAUCUUGAUAUGAAGGCUAUAGCCUAUGUAUAGUGUUAUUCUGUUUACUCAUUCAUUCCAGGUGUCAAUGUCACAUUAAAUUAAAUUAUUACAUACAUAUAAUAAUAAAUAAAAUAUUUCACUGCUUAGCAACAACAGAUUGAAAUAACUCGGAUUACCUACCACUUCGUCAUCCUUUCACAUAGGGAGAUUAUAUUAGGGGUAGUAUUUAAAUCUUUAAUUUUAUUUUGAGAUUGGCCUAUUACUUUUAUCUUCUCUUUCUGUAUAUGUAUAAACAGACAUAUGGCUUUAUAUCGGUGUAAGUAUACCUUGAAUAUUCAAAAGUAUUUAGCUUGUUUUCUAUUAGCUUUGUUGAGGAGUGGGGUCUAUUUAGGCUAUCUCAAACAUUUAAUCAGUAUUGAGUAAUGAGAUAACUGUGGUACCUUCAAUUAACAUGUGUCUGUAUAAAAUUUAACUAUGUUUAGCACAAAUGACUGGAAAUUAAAUUUGUCGAGGCGUUACGCAUCUGCUUAUUAGUCAAUGCAAACUGCUGUUGCCAGGGUAGACUAUUGUGCUCUGCUGAGUCCUAAAAAUCAGAGAAAAAAAAUGGCGUUAAAAGUGUAGAGUCCGUGUGCUCGGUGCUUUUUUCCUACUUAAAUUUCACUCAGUUUGCCUCUGUUCUCCACUUAGUUUGCCCAUCUAAAUUUACCUACAUUCAACCCCUAACUUGUAAAGCUGAACACCCGCUAUGUUUAUUGCAACUUUUUUUGUAGUUUUAAUACUAAUAUAUUAGACCGAAUUUAUUCAGCCAGCAUUGGUUACCAUGUUUUACUAUUACUUUACUUUAUUUCAUUUUAUUUAUUUUUAAAUUCUCAAAAGCAAUGUAUGGCUUUAUUGGUGUCUUGAUAUGAAAUGAAGUUAAAGCUACAUUUGUAAUUGUACAAAAAUAUUAUGCAAGGAAGAGAGGCACUUUACAUUUUGGCAAAAUAUUUAAAGUACUAGUAUAUUUAGAUUUGUAGAGCAUACAUAAUUUAGUGUUUCAUAAUACUCACUUUCAGUUAAGUUAUCUUCUUUAAACCACUGUGAUGAGACUUUGACUAUGGAUACAUUGAAUUGAUAUUAGUAUUUGUUGACUAUAUUUAGUUUGUGCACUGUAGAUCCCAAAGACAAAUCUGUGACCUUCCUGAACUAUAGAUUAAGGAAGACAUAACGAAGAAUGAGAUUAACCAGGAAGAGUUGCUGUGUGGUGUGGGAGAAGAGACUCAGUUUUGUUAUACAAAUUAAUGUCUGCCAUUGAUUGUUCUCUAUGCUCUGUUAUGGUGUAUGAUAUCAUAGUUAGGGAGAUUUAUCUAAAAACUGCAUUGCAACUCAUUACAUAUAAAAGUAUAUAUUCUUGGCCUUUUCUGGUCUUUCUUGUUUUAUAUUAUGUUUGAUAUGACCCUGUUCAAGUAAAAAGAAUUGUGUUAUUUACUCUUAAUUAUGACUUGAUUGUGAAUACAGUUCCUGUAACCUCAGUAAAUAUUGUCUUGUAAUAUUUACUCUAUCCAAGAACUUCACAUGUGGGAAGAAUUAUAUUAUUAAAUAAGUCAAGUUUAUGCCCACUCAUUAAUAGGGUGGUGGGGGUUUGGAGACAGUCUUCAGAAUAAAUAUAUUAAUUACUUUCUUAAAUUCAAAAUGUUGUAAGGUAAGUGAUCAGUAUCCCUGGUAUAAAAGUUGUUCUUUAGAUUCCAAUUCACAUAAUUAAAUUCUGUUCUUAAUACGUCAA